UCCUGCAAGUAUAUUAAAUAUACAUUAUAAUUAUUGACAUGCAUGCAUCAACAUAGGCUUUUAAUUAUUGAGUUAACAAGGUGUGUAGAUGUAAGUAUUGAGAGAGUAAUUACCGUGAUAGAGAUAUCUAAUAGUGGUAUGGAGGAGGAGGAGAUUUGUAGAGGUAAGGAUGGUGUGGUGGAGAGUAGUGGUGUACUGGAGGAGGAGGAGGUGAUUUGUACACGUACUUUUCCUUUGGUGGUGGUGGAGAGUGGUAAACCGGAGGAGGAGAGUAGUGCUUAACCGGAGGAGGAGGGGACUUGUAUACGUAAUGUUUCUUUGGUGGUGGUGGGGAAUGGUAGACUGGAGGGGGAGAGUAGUGCUUAACCGGAGGAGGAGGGGACUUGUAUACGUAAUGUUUCUUUGGUGGUGGUGGGGAAUGGUAAACUGGAGGGGGAGAGUAGUGCUUCACCGGUGGUGGUGGAGAUUUGUACACGUAGUGUUUCUUUGGUGGGGGUGGGGAAUGGUAAACCGGAGGAGGAGAGUAGUGCUUAACUGGAGGAGGAGGAGAUUUGUACACGUAGUGUUUCUUUGGUGGUGGUGGGGAAUGGUAAACCGGAGGAGGAGAGUAGUGCUUAACCGGAGGAGGAGGAGAUUUGUACACGUAGUGUUUCUUUGGGGGUGGUGGGGAAUGGUAAACCGGAGGAGGUGAGUAGUGCUUCACCGGUGGUGGUGGAGAUUUGUAGACGUAAUGCUUUUUAGGUGGGGGUGGGGAAUGGUAAACCGGAGGGGGAGAGUAGUGCUUAACCGGAGGAGGAGGAGACUUGUAAACGUAAUGUUUUUUUGGUGGUGGUGGUGAGUGGUAAACCGGAGGGGGAGAGUAGUGCUUAACCGGAGGAGGAGGAGACUUGUAUACGUAAUGUUUCUUUGGUGGUGGUGGUGAGUGGUAAACCGGUGGGGGAGAGUAGUGCUUGACUGGAGGAGGGGGAGAUUUGUACACGUAGUGCUUCUUGGGUGGUGGUGGAGAGUGGUAAACCGGAGGAGGAGAGUAGUGCUUAACCGGAGGAGGGGGAGAUUUGUAAACGUAGUGCUUCUUUGGUGGUGGUGGGGAGUGAUAAACCGGUGGGGGAGAGUAGUGCUUGACCGGAGGAGGAGGAGAUUUGUACACGUAGUGUUUCUUUGGUGGGGGUGGGGAAUGGUAAACCGGAGGAGGUGAGUAGUGCUUAACCGGUGGAGGUGGAGAUUUGUAUUCGUAGUGCUUCUUAGGUGGUGGUGGGGAGUGGUAUACCGGUGGAGGAGAGUAGUGUUUAACCGGAGGAGUGUAAUGUUUAACCGGUGGUGGAGGAGAAGAAUAGAAAUAGUUAGCGGUUGAUUGAGAUACAAAGGUGAGAGAGAUU
This 1376-nucleotide long non-coding RNA is filed under the name Arabidopsis thaliana (thale cress). RNAcentral describes it as "long non-coding RNA (ATHA_LNC000278)". The record is from RNAcentral. Lineage: Eukaryota; Viridiplantae; Streptophyta; Magnoliopsida; Brassicales; Brassicaceae.